GAUGUAGUCCCACUUGUUUAUUUUUGCUUUUGUUGCCUUUGUGUUGUGUGUCAGAUUGGUUUUUAGUUCUUUAGGGCAGUCUUACCUUUACAUUUCGGUAGUACCUUUCUAGUGCAAUGCUCCACAAAUGUUUUCUGAAUUCCUGCCGAAGAUUAGAAAAUUGACAGGUAGGGGGACUGCUACUGGAGAGAAAGCUUACUAAUUUCACCCAGAAAUGACAAUUGGUAAUCUGAUAGUGAGGGAAGAGACAGGAAAAAUCUGUAAAAGUAGGCAAAAUUUUGCCCAUCAUUUGGCAAAGAUUUUUAAAAUUGUAAUAUCCAAAAGAGAAUAUAGGAAAACAUUUUUGUGUAAUGCUGGUGGGAGUAGAGAAUUCAUAUAAUUUCCUUAGAAUGUAGUUUGGAAGACUGUACUAAAAAUCGUUAGGGGACUUCUGUGUGCCACAACUACUGAGCCUGCGGUCUAGAGCCCACGAGCCACAACUGCUGAGCCCACAUGCCACAACUGCUGAAGCCCACACACCUAGAGCCUGUGCUCCGCAACAAGGGAAGCCACUGCAAUGAGAAGCCUGCCCAGUGCAACUAAGAGUAGCCCCUGCUUGACGCAACUAGAGAAAGCCCGCGCGCAGCAACAAAGACCCAAUGCAGCCAAAAAUAAAAAAAAAUAAAAAUUAAAAAAAAUAAAAGUCGUUAGGGAAUUCCCUGGUGGUCCAGUGGUUAGGACUCUGCACUUUCAGUGCUGAGGGCCUGGGUUCAGUCCCUGGUUGGGGAACUAAGAUCCCACAAGCCACGUGGCGUGGCCAAAAAAAAAAAAAGUCAUUAAAGUACAUAAGUUGACCCACCAAUUAUACUUAUCCUAAGGAAAUCAUUUGAGAUGUGUAUACUUUUGUGUUCCCACAGUGAAUAGCAAAGCAGAACUACCUUCAUUUCUGACAAUAGAGAAUCAGUUAAACUAUGGGGCAAUCAUUCUAAGGAACUGUACACAUUGUGACCGUUAUAAAUUAUAUUUUCAAGGAAUAUUUAAUGAAGUGUAAAAAUGCUUAUGUGUUAAGUGAAAAAAGCAGGUUAUAAUAUAACUCUAAUUUAUAAAAUAUGUAUCUCUGUUAUCAUGUUAGCUUUUCUUCCUUGUGUUAGCGACCUCAGGCCUUAAAGAAAGCUUUGCAGCUCCAGGCGCCACAUCUUCCCACUAAUGACCCAAGCAGAAAGGAAGGGAGCAGUGAGGGCUCUCUUCUGUUGGCGCUCCAUCCCCAGGUGUAUUCCUCUUACAUCUUAUUGACCAGAGCUGGAUCAUAGAGCCACUCGGAGUUGCAGUGGAGGCUGGGAAAGGUUUUUGUUUAGUUUUUGGCUGUGCCGCAUAGCAUAUGGGAUCUUAGUUCCCCAACCAGGGAUUGAACCUGUGCCCCCUGCAGUGGGAGCGCAGUCUCAACCACUGGACCACCAGGGAAGUCCCCUUCUCUUCUUUUAAAAAAUAAUUUUUUUGAGGCAUAAUUUACAUACCACAAAAAUCACUCAUUUUAAGUGCACAAUUCUCAGUUAUAAAAAUGAUUCUAGAGAGACAGGUGGGGAACCGUGGAGAGUAGAAGAGGUGGAGAGUCUAGGUAGGUGGACUGAAAAUAGAGAUCAUGGAAUUCCCUGGUGGCCUAGUGGUUAGGACUCCGUGAUCUCACUGCCAAGGGCCUGGGUUCCAUCCCUGAUCAGGGAACUAAUAUCCCGAAAGCCACACGGCACAGCCGAAAAAAAAAACAAGAAGAGAAAAUAGAGAUCAAAGGAGAAGAUGGAGAGAAGAAAUGGUGCAGAUCUGAGAAGACAGAAUAGGGUAUCGAGGAGGGACUGAUAGGUGAUUCUCUCACCUGCACAUCGAGCUCCUGGCUUCGAGGGUCUUGCAGGAAGAACCGGAAGGCCGCCUCCCACACCGGGCAGUUGGUGUUAUAGACAGCCUGGAGAUGUGCAGGAUGUAAUCAAGUGAAGGAAGGACAGCUGUCAUCAGAAUCCUUCCCCUGGUGCUUCCCUGGUGGCACAGUGGUUAAGAAUCCACCUGCCAAUCCAGGGCACACGGGUUCGAGCCCUGUUGCGGGAAGAUCCCACAUGCUGCAGAGCAACUAAGCCCAUGCACUGCAACUACUGAGCUUGCGCUCUAGAGCCCGCGAGCCACAACUACUGAGCCUGUGCACCUAGAGCCCGUGCUCCGCAACAAGAGAAGCCACGACAAUGAGAAGCCCGCACACUGCAAUGAAGAGUAGCCCCUGCUCGCUGCAACUAGACAAAGCUUGCACACAGCAACAAAGACCCAAUGCAGCCAAAAAUAAAUAAAUAAAAUAAA
Molecule: long non-coding RNA, 2316 nt
Organism: Lagenorhynchus albirostris (white-beaked dolphin)
Lineage: Eukaryota; Metazoa; Chordata; Mammalia; Artiodactyla; Delphinidae
Exons: 3
Source: RefSeq, a predicted model, not a curated record